GGGACCGGUAACGAUGUCGACUUGGAGGUUGUUCCCUUGAGGAGUGGCUUCCGGAGCUAACGCGUUAAGUCGACCGCCUGGGGAGUACGGCCGCAAGGUUAAAACUCAAAUGAAUUGACGGGGGCCCGCACAAGCGGUGGAGCAUGUGGUUUAAUUCGAUGCAACGCGAAGAACCUUACCUACUCUUGACAUCCAGGGAAUUUGGCAGAGAUGCUUUGGUGCCUUCGGGAACCCUGAGACAGGUGCUGCAUGGCUGUCGUCAGCUCGUGUUGUGAAAUGUUGGGUUAAGUCCCGCAACGAGCGCAACCCUUAUCCUUUGUUGCCAGCGAUUCGGUCGGGAACUCAAAGGAGACUGCCGGUGAUAAACCGGAGGAAGGUGGGGAUGACGUCAAGUCAUCAUGGCCCUUACGAGUAGGGCUACACACGUGCUACAAUGGCGCAUACAAAGAGAAGCGACCUCGCGAGAGCAAGCGGACCUCACAAAGUGCGUCGUAGUCCGGAUCGGAGUCUGCAACUCGACUCCGUGAAGUCGGAAUCGCUAGUAAUCGUGGAUCAGAAUGCCACGGUGAAUACGUUCCCGGGCCUUGUACACACCGCCCGUCACACCAUGGGAGUGGGUUGCAAAAGAAGUAGGUAGCUUAACCUUCGGGAGGGCGCUUACCACUUUGUGAUUCAUGACUGGGGUGAAGUCGUAAAAAGGUAGCCUAA
This 708-nucleotide ribosomal RNA is filed under the name endophytic bacterium WS1A. RNAcentral's name for it is "bacterial SSU rRNA". It matches the Rfam family "Bacterial small subunit ribosomal RNA", at positions 796 to 1504 of the family's 1533-position model. The record is from RNAcentral.